This 638-nucleotide non-coding RNA is filed under the name Georgenia sp. SUBG003. RNAcentral's name for it is "bacterial LSU rRNA". It matches the Rfam family "Bacterial large subunit ribosomal RNA", at positions 1738 to 2375 of the family's 2925-position model. Lineage: Bacteria; Bacillati; Actinomycetota; Actinomycetes; Allobogoriellales; Allobogoriellaceae. The record is from RNAcentral.
CUGAGGGGUGAGGCCACUAGCUGGCUAGCCCUUUCGGGCCGCAGAGACCAGGGAGAAGCGACUGUUUACUAAAAAACACAGGUCCGUGCGAAGUCGCAAGACGAUGUAUACGGACUGACGCCUGCCCGGUGCUGGAAGGUUAAGAGGACGGGUCAGCCGCGAGGCGAAGCUCAGAAUUUAAGCCCCAGUAAACGGCGGUGGUAACUAUAACCAUCCUAAGGUAGCGAAAUUCCUUGUCGGGUAAGUUCCGACCUGCACGAAUGGCGUAACGACUUCUCCGCUGUCUCGACCGCGAACUCGGCGAAAUUGCACUACGAGUAAAGAUGCUCGUUUCGCGCAGCAGGACGGAAAGACCCCGGGUCCUUUACUAUAGCUUGGUAUUGGUGUUCGGUACGGCUUGUGUAGGAUAGGUGGGAGACCGUGGAAGCCGCCACGCCAGUGGUGGUGGAGUCGCCGUUGAAAUACCACUCUGGUCGUACUGCACAUCUAACCUCGGUCCGUGAUCCGGACCAGGGACAGUGCCUGGUGGGUAGUUUAACUGGGGCGGUUGCKCCRWCUGUAACGGAGGCGCUCAAAGGUUCCCUCCAGCCUGGUUGGCCAAUCAGGUGUCGAGUGCAAGUGCACAAGGGAGCUUACUG